GUUGUUGUAGCUCAGUGGUAGAGCACUUGCCUAGCACGUGUGAGGCACUGGGUUCAAUUCUCAGCACCGAAU
RNAcentral lists this transfer RNA (72 nucleotides) under Ictidomys tridecemlineatus (thirteen-lined ground squirrel). RNAcentral's name for it is "Spermophilus tridecemlineatus (thirteen-lined ground squirrel) tRNA". It matches the Rfam family "tRNA". From Rfam's summary of the family: Transfer RNA (tRNA) molecules are approximately 80 nucleotides in length. Their secondary structure includes four short double-helical elements and three loops (D, anti-codon, and T loops). Further hydrogen bonds mediate the characteristic L-shaped molecular structure. tRNAs have two regions of fundamental functional importance: the anti-codon, which is responsible for specific mRNA codon recognition, and the 3' end, to which the tRNAs corresponding amino acid is attached (by aminoacyl-tRNA synthetases). tRNAs cope with the degeneracy of the genetic code in two manners: having more than one tRNA (with a specific anti-codon) for a particular amino acid; and 'wobble' base-pairing, i.e. permitting non-standard base-pairing at the 3rd anti-codon position. The record is from Rfam by way of RNAcentral. Lineage: Eukaryota; Metazoa; Chordata; Mammalia; Rodentia; Sciuridae.